RNAcentral lists this ribosomal RNA (403 nucleotides) under Verrucomicrobiota bacterium. Its description in RNAcentral is "Verrucomicrobia bacterium partial 16S ribosomal RNA". It matches the Rfam family "Bacterial small subunit ribosomal RNA", at positions 355 to 776 of the family's 1533-position model. Lineage: Bacteria; Pseudomonadati; Verrucomicrobiota. The record is from RNAcentral.
UGGGGAAUAUUGCACAAUGGGGGAAACCCUGAUGCAGCGACGCCGCGUGAGCGAAGAAGGCUUUCGAGUCGUAAAGCUCUGUCCUAUGAGAAGAUAAUGACGGUAUCAUAGGAGGAAGCCCUGGCUAAAUACGUGCCAGCAGCCGCGGUAAUACGUAUGGGGCGAGCGUUGUCCGGAAUUAUUGGGCGUAAAGGGUACGUAGGUGGUUUUUUAAGUCAGGUGUCAAAGCGUGGAGCUUAACUCCAUUAAGCACUUGAAACUGAAAGACUUGAGUGAAGGAGAGGAAAGUGGAAUUCCUAGUGUAGCGGUGAAAUGCGCAGAUAUUAGGAAGAAUACCGGUGGCGAAGGCGACUUUCUGGUCAUCAUCUGACGCUGAGGUACGAAAGCGUGGGUAGCAAACAGG